Xyrichtys novacula (pearly razorfish) is the source of this 1194-nucleotide non-coding RNA. The record is from the annotation of a GenBank genome assembly. NCBI's taxonomy places the organism in Eukaryota, Metazoa, Chordata, Actinopteri, Labriformes, Labridae.
UGUAAUACAUUUUUCAAAGUUCAUCCACAGCUCCAUUCAUUUUGCUGGAGUAGGCCGGAUUUAUGACCUGCACAGCGAGGAGGCAGAUAAGUGACACACACACAUCACUUACACACACCACAGGUGCUGGUUUGUAACAAGGACUUGGACUGUUACACACUAUCAUGAUGAUGAUCCGGUCAUGUGAUCUGAAGUGUCAUCUCUCUGCAUCUAUGGAUCUGAACAGUUCUCCUCCUCUCUUUCUCUUUCUCUUUCUCUUCCUCUGCAGCGUCCUCGCUAGCCCACUACAUGCCCACUAGCAGGUACCCACACCUCCUGAUAUGAUAAUCUCUGGAUAUUCAUGGGCAGGGAUUGAUGCUGGUUUCUGACUGGUGGGAGAGCACUGUCAGUUUAUGAUUAACAUUCAUCAACAUAAACAAGUGUCUACAAUCAACUCAGACUGUUUUUUUUUUUUUUUUUUAAGUGUAAGUCGAUGCACAGAUUCCUGUUUCAAGGACUUAUUGUUCUCACGAAUGUAGGGUUGUGUUUCAUUGGAGCAUAAUAUUGGAAUUGGUUUUAGUCCCAAAAGCAUCUAUUUCGAAGUAAUGGAGGAAGUUGAGACAGUGAUAUGUAAAGUAAAUGGCACACAGUAUAAAAUGCAAAAGUUUUGAUGAAAAAAAUCUUGGACUGUUUUCAGUAAAGCAGAAGACUUCAUGUUAAGAUAUACAUAAUGUAAGUGAGAAAGUUUCUACAAAGCGUUUCAAAUGGCAGGACAGAUGUUCAAACAUCCAUCAAAGCCAGAUGUUUGAAAUCUUGAUGAGACAAUGCCGUGUAAACGCCCUCUCAGACUGUUGCACUCUAAUCUUUAAAAAUAACCCAAAAGAUGAGGAAUGUGUUUUAGAGGGCUGUAGUGAGCUUUUUUACAUCUUUACCUGGAGAUCCGUCACUGUAACACAAACAUCAUUGAGCGUGUUUCCCUUUCAGGGCUUUGUGUUGGACCUGCUGUCUGUGGCCCGGACAUCAUCAGUGUUUUUCUCCUCAUCUGUUUGCUUUCGAUGCUGCAGAGCUGUUCAUCUGAUUAAUGAAGAGGCCAGAGCACCGUGACUUUGUGGUAAAUGUUUAUGCUGAAUAAAUGUCAGCCAGAGUGUUUGUCCCAGUGAUGAUGAGCAGAGAGAGGAGCCAACACUCUCCGGACCUCCCUCUACUGAAACUGAA